Long non-coding RNA from Pistacia vera, 540 nucleotides. RefSeq lists it as uncharacterized. The transcript is spliced from 3 exons. The record is from RefSeq and is a predicted model, not a curated record. Lineage: Eukaryota; Viridiplantae; Streptophyta; Magnoliopsida; Sapindales; Anacardiaceae.
UUUUGUUUUCUUACUGAGAGAUAACCAUCUAUACCAAUAAUUGAGAUGAGCUUUUUUCGUUUUGCAGGACAAACCAUGUGACAUUUGUGGUCAUUUUGGUUUUCAGGAACUGCUUGUAACUUGCUCCAAAUGUUGUUGCGCUCGUGAGCAUGUUUAUUGCAUGAGGGUUUGUACUGAGGAGGUGCCACAAAGUUGGGUUUGUGAAGCAUGCCUAUUGAGCAAUGACAUGCUUUCACCAAAAUCCGGAACUAUCAAUAAGGCUUGCAAUGAUUCACAGUUCCAGGUUCACUCGAAGAAGCUAAAGUCUGUUGAAUCCGGCAAGGUCAAGUUCCUUCCCGCAGAAGAAGCUAUUAGGCUAUCAUUAGGAUCCCAGAAAAUGGGAUCUUCUCAACGAAUUAACUUCGGAUUAAAAUGGGGUUCAUCAAAUACCGUUCUACCUAGGAGCAGAAGAACUCCCAUUCCGUCCAAAAUUAGUGGUGCACAAAUUAAUUCCAUGAUGAAUGAUCAGGCAGCAAAUAUGUCAAAACAAUCAAAAGGUGA